AGCAGCCGCGGUAAUUCCAGCUCCAAUAGCGUAUAUUAAAGUUGUUGCAGUUAAAAAGCUCGUAGUUGAACUUCAGGCCUGUCCAGAUGGUCCGCCUUAAUUGGUGUGUACUGUCCUUGGGUGGGUCCUACCUUCUGGCGAAGCGGCAUGGCCUUAAUUGGUUGUGUUGGGGAACCAGGACUUUUACUGUGAAAAAUUAGAGUGUUCAAAGCAGGCAUAUAUGCUCGAAUACAUUAGCAUGGAAUAAUGGAAUAGGACGAUGGUUCUAUUUUGUUGGUUCUAGGACCGUUGUAAUGAUUAAUAGGGAUAGUUGGGGGCAUUAGUAUUCAAUUGUCAGAGGUGAAAUUCUUGGAUUUAUUGAAGACUAACUACUGCGAAAGCAUUUGCCAAGGAUGUUUUCAUUAAUCAAGAACGAAAGUUAGGGGAUCGAAGACGAUCAGAUACCGUCGU
This 450-nucleotide ribosomal RNA is filed under the name uncultured Paraglomus. RNAcentral's name for it is "bacterial SSU rRNA". It matches the Rfam family "Eukaryotic small subunit ribosomal RNA", at positions 569 to 1021 of the family's 1831-position model. The record is from RNAcentral. Lineage: Eukaryota; Fungi; Glomeromycota; Glomeromycetes; Paraglomerales; Paraglomeraceae.